AUUGAACGCUGGCGGCAGGCCUAACACAUGCAAGUCGAGCGGAUGAAGGGAGCUUGCUCCUGGAUUCAGCGGCGGACGGGUGAGUAAUGCCUAGGAAUCUGCCUGGUAGUGGGGGAUAACGUCCGGAAACGGGCGCUAAUACCGCAUACGUCCUGAGGGAGGAAGUGGGGGAUCUUCGGACCUCACGCUAUCAGAUGAGGCUAGGUCGGAUUAGCUAGUUGGUGGGGUAAAGGCCUACCAAGGCGACGAUCCGUAACUGGUCGGAGAGGAUGAUCAGUCACACUAGAACUGGGACACGGUCCAGACUCCUACGGGAGGCAGCAGUGGGGAAUAUUGGACAAUGGGCGAAAGCCUGAUCCAGCCAUGCCGCGUGUGUGAAGAAGGUCUUCGGAUUGUAAAGCACUUUAAGUUGGGAGGAAGGGCAGUAAGUUAAUACCUUGCUGUUUUGACGUUACCAACAGAAUAAGCACCGGCUAACUUCGUG
RNAcentral lists this ribosomal RNA (484 nucleotides) under uncultured bacterium. RNAcentral describes it as "partial 16S ribosomal RNA". It matches the Rfam family "Bacterial small subunit ribosomal RNA", at positions 30 to 507 of the family's 1533-position model. The record is from RNAcentral.